GUGAGGAAUAUUGCGCAAUGGAGGCAACUCUGACGCAGCCAUGCCGCGUGCAGGAAGAAGGCGCUACGCGUUGUAAACUGCUUUUAACCGGGAAGAAACCCCAGGACGUGUCCUGGGUUGACGGUACCGGAGGAAUAAGCACCGGCUAACUUCGUGCCAGCAGUCGCGGUAAUACGAAGGGUGCAAGCGUUAUCCGGAUUCAUUGGGUUUAAAGGGUGCGUAGGCGGAGCGUUAAGUCAGUGGUGAAAUCCUGCAGCUUAACUGUAGACUUGCCAUUGAUACUGGCGCUCUUGAGUGCGCUUGAAGUGGGCGGAAUGUGCCGUGUAGCGGUGAAAUGCUUAGAUAUGGCACAGAACACCAAUUGCGAAGGCAGCUCACUAAGGCGAUACUGACGCUGAGGCACGAAAGCGUGGGGAUCGAACAGGAUUAGAUACCCCUGUAGUCC
This 445-nucleotide ribosomal RNA is filed under the name uncultured bacterium. RNAcentral describes it as "partial 16S ribosomal RNA". It matches the Rfam family "Bacterial small subunit ribosomal RNA", at positions 354 to 796 of the family's 1533-position model. The record is from RNAcentral.